AUGUAUUCCGUUUCAACUGAUGCGUAUCGACAUGCUUACACUCGGCUUACACAUGCUUACAAACGGCGACAUGCUUACACUCGUGGAUUCAUUUCGUCGCAGAAACUUGAAGAUGUUCCAGAGAAGGGAAAGUUUAAGUUCACCACUAAACAUCGCACUGGAGUUAUGGUUUUCGGAGCAGAUGCCUCCAAUGGAUUGAAAAUGCCUCCGGUUUUCAUCAAAGCUGGGAUGAAGGAUAAACUGCCGUGUCAUACCUCUGAAAAGUCUCAAGAGUGGUUGAAGAAUAACAUGGCUUUUUGGACAAAAGAUGUUUGGCCUCCUAGCAGCCCAGACUUGAACCUCAUCGAUUAUUCCGUAUGGGUGAAUGUUCAGGCAAAAGCCUGUGUUAAAUCUCACCCCCGGGUGGACGCCCUGAAAGCCUCCAUUACAAAAGCAUGGAACUCGAUGUCUGAUUCAUCCAUUUAAAAGGCAUGUUCCGAUCACGCCUGGAGAAAGUGAUAGAAAACAUCGGUGGCCACAUCGAAUAAUGUGAACUAUGAAGGUUGAAUAAACAUAUCU
Long non-coding RNA from Anopheles funestus (African malaria mosquito), 558 nucleotides. RefSeq lists it as uncharacterized. The transcript is spliced from 3 exons. The record is from RefSeq and is a predicted model, not a curated record. NCBI's taxonomy places the organism in Eukaryota, Metazoa, Arthropoda, Insecta, Diptera, Culicidae.